This 468-nucleotide ribosomal RNA is filed under the name uncultured bacterium. RNAcentral's name for it is "partial 16S ribosomal RNA". It matches the Rfam family "Bacterial small subunit ribosomal RNA", at positions 28 to 507 of the family's 1533-position model. The record is from RNAcentral.
GACGAACGCUGGCGGCGUGCUUAACACAUGCAAGUCGAACGGAAAGGCCCUGCUUUUGUGGGGUGCUCGAGUGGCGAACGGGUGAGUAACACGUGAGUAACCUGCCCUUGACUUUGGGAUAACUUCAGGAAACUGGGGCUAAUACCGGUUAGGAGCUCCUGCUGCAUGGUGGGGGUUGGAAAGUUUCGGCGGUUGGGGAUGGACUCGCGGCUUAUCAGCUCGUUGGUGGGGUAGUGGCUUACCAAGGCUUUGACGGGUAGCCGGCCUGAGAGGGUGACCGGCCACAUUGGAACUGAGAUAAGGCCCAGACUCCUACGGGAGGCAGCAGUGGGGAAUAUUGCACAAUGGGCGGAAGCCUGAUGCAGCAACGCCGCGUGCGGGAUGACGGCCUUCGGGUUGUAAACCGCUUUCGCCUGUGACGAAGCGUGAGUGACGGUAAUGGGUAAAGAAGCACCGGCUAACUACGUG